This 468-nucleotide ribosomal RNA is filed under the name uncultured bacterium. RNAcentral describes it as "partial 16S ribosomal RNA". It matches the Rfam family "Bacterial small subunit ribosomal RNA", at positions 28 to 507 of the family's 1533-position model. The record is from RNAcentral.
GACGAACGCUGGCGGCGUGCCUAACACAUGCAAGUCGAACGGAAAGGCCCUGCUUUUGUGGGGUGCUCGAGUGGCGAACGGGUGAGUAACACGUGAGUAACCUGUCCUUGACUUUGGGAUAACUUCAGGAAACUGGGGCUAAUACCGGAUAGGAGCUCCUGCUGCAUGGUGGGGGUUGGAAAGUUUCGGCGGUUGGGGAUGGACUCGCGGCUUAUCAGCUUGUUGGUGGGGUAGUGGCUUACCAAGGCUUUGACGGGUAGCCGGCCUGAGAGGGUGACCGGCCACAUUGGGACUGAGAUACGGCCCAGACUCCUACGGGAGGCAACAGUGGGGAAUAUUGCACAAUGGGCGGAAGCCUGGUGCAGCGACGCCGCGUGCGGGAUGACGGCCUUCUGGUUGUAAACCGCUUUCGCCUGUGACGAAGCGUGAGUGACGGUAAUGGGUAAAGAAGCACCGGCUAACUACGUG